This 29-nucleotide transfer RNA is filed under the name Mangifera indica (mango). Its description in RNAcentral is "partial tRNA-Leu". Lineage: Eukaryota; Viridiplantae; Streptophyta; Magnoliopsida; Sapindales; Anacardiaceae. The record is from RNAcentral.
CACAAUCCAUCUCAUUGCUCAUACUGAAA